UUUUUCUAUCAAAAUGCAACCAUGGCCUUAGUAUUAUAAAAGGACUGGCGAUAUGUGCAAGAAUUUCUGAGGUAAACGUUAUUUUUUAACCUGUUUUCGAUGAUUAAAGUUGGUCAUGCCGUGGCAACGUGAUGACUCAAGUCCGAGUCUGUUUACAAUUUUCAAACUAAAAAAUCUGGAAUUCCCACGGUUCGAUUUUCGUAAUUUUUGCAAAAAAGUCAAGACAAAUGUCUAAACUAAAAAUCUGCUGGAGGGAUCCCCGGGAUCCCCCGGCAGUUUUCGAGAUAUUUGGCAUUGAAGUGACCAUACUCAAUUCAACCUUUGCCAAAAUGGCGUCUAAUAUCUGGGGAAGAUAUUGCGCCACCAAAGCUUGGUUUUGACAAUGAAUUGUGAAAGUCCCCCAAUAUUAGGAUCACUUUUCUUUACAGUAAGUGUUAAAUUACUUUUGAAGGACUAUUUAGAAGACUUAGGAGUUAUUUGCCUGUUUUUGCAGAUUUUAUAUCUGGGCUGGUAUUACUAGCCUGCAUGCCCAUCUCCUUGACAAGUGAAAUUGUCUGGUGGUAGAGACGAUUUUAAAAGAACAGCACAUUAUAAAGUGAUCAGAUUUUCUCUCAGUGAAAAAUUCUAUGUUCCUUUUUAAUUACAGCAGUUCAGAUGUCGAUAUAGAAUUGAAAAGGGCUUAUUCCUGAACAUCCUGCAAGGGCAGGGCCAACUGACGAUGUUGAAGAAUGAAGACAUUUUAGCAUGGAUUACUAGUAUAGAUUAUAGUAUCUCUUGUCCUUUAUGAUGUCUUCCUGAAAGUUGUUGGUGAAUACAAAUUGAGCUGUGAUCCCUCAACGUGGCCAACAACAUGCUCCACCAAAUACCUGAGCACAAUAUAGAAAGUGCACAUACAUGCAGGGAUGGAUUUACUUGGGGGGGGUUGCACCCCCUAGCCAGAGGGGGUGCACGGGGGUGCUAUUUUUUAUGAUAAAGCAAAAAAGACAAAAUAAGAUACAAUAAUUUGAGUAAUAACAUGAUGAUAAGUGAACUGUGAACAACAAUUACAAUUCAAAUACAGCAGUUGAUGGGUGGGCGGCACACAUGACCGACACAAUUCGGCAGUCGGCACCAGAGCACCCCCCCCCCCCCACCAGAUCAUGCUGGAUCCAUCCCUGCAUACAUGUACUGUAUCAUAUUUAAUUAAUGCUUGAGUAUAUUUGUUCAAAUUUAUUGAUAUUAAUAAAUAAUUGAAUUAUGUUUGUUAUAGUAGUGUACAUUUUGCACCAGCCACUCUUGAAAUUAGAUGUCAGCCACUUUUUAACUAGAUGGCCAUGGAUGACCUAAGAAAUUGUUUUCUUUAUUAAACAGCAACUUGCAAGCUUUGUGAUAUUUCUUGAAUACCUCAAAAGUUGUCAGCUGCUGUUUACAUUAUCU
RNAcentral lists this long non-coding RNA (1416 nucleotides) under Paramuricea clavata. The record is from RNAcentral. Lineage: Eukaryota; Metazoa; Cnidaria; Anthozoa; Malacalcyonacea; Plexauridae.